GAUGAACGCUGGCGGCGUGCCUAAUACAUGCAAGUCGAACGCUGGAAAUCUAGCUUGCUAGAUUGAAGGAGUGGCGAACGGGUGAGUAAUACAUAAGCAACCUACCCACGAAGACUGGGAUAAUCUCUGGAAACGGGGACUAAUACCGGAUAGGUAAUCGGAAGGCAUCUUCUGAUUAUUAAAGGUUAAAAACACUGGUGGAUGGGCUUAUGGCGCAUUAGUUAGUUGGUGAGGUAACGGCCCACCAAGACGAUGAUGCGUAGCCGGCCUGAGAGGGUGAACGGCCACAUUGGGACUGAGACACGGCCCAGACUCCUACGGGAGGCAGCAGUAGGGAAUUUUCGGCAAUGGGGGAAGCCCUGACCGAGCAACGCCGCGUGAGUGAUGACGGCCUUCGGGUUGUAAAGCUCUGUUGUAAGGGAAGAACGGUAGAUAGAGAAUAUCUAAAUGACGGUACCUUACCAGAAAGCCACGGCUAACUACGUG
RNAcentral lists this ribosomal RNA (486 nucleotides) under uncultured bacterium. Its description in RNAcentral is "partial 16S ribosomal RNA". It matches the Rfam family "Bacterial small subunit ribosomal RNA", at positions 28 to 507 of the family's 1533-position model. The record is from RNAcentral.